Long non-coding RNA from Camelina sativa (false flax), 1149 nucleotides. RefSeq lists it as uncharacterized. The record is from RefSeq and is a predicted model, not a curated record. Lineage: Eukaryota; Viridiplantae; Streptophyta; Magnoliopsida; Brassicales; Brassicaceae.
CACGUGAGCCAAUCUUUCUUACGACACUUUUUUCUUCUUCCUUGAUUGUGUCGCCUGCUUCAUCUUGUUCUGCUCAUUGAAGCUUUCUCUUGCUACAGGUAUGAGGGUCUGCUAGCUGCGUUACGUCAUCCUUCGUUGAUGCUAGAGGAGCUUGAUGGUUCUAAGUCCUGACCAUUUUCGCUCGUCAAACCGCUGCUACCAAAUGUCUGGCUUUCAAGUGCCAUUUUCUUGAAUUUCUUCAAAUCCUCUCUGUAUUGUGUUGAGCAGUAAUCCGAGCUCCCGUCUAAGCUGUAACCAGUGCUGUCUUCUGAAGCAACUCCUUCGGUUAUGUCAGCUAGAGAAAUGUUGCCUUCAAAUGCUCGAACAAUCUGCAAUGACCCCAAGACUCACAAAGUCUUAGGUUUUUGUCCUAGAUAUAUAUUUUUGCCGAAAGGAAGUUUCAGUUUGAUAUAUAUACAGUACGUACCUGGGUCAUUGUUGGACGGCGUUUCGCUGCAUGGCGGACGCUAGCAGCAGCGCAAGCAACCACUCUCGUCAUUUCGAUGACAUCAAAGUCAUUCUCUAAUCGCGGGUCAACAAAACCGUUGAAGUUGCCAUCCUUUAGACCUUUUGCCAUCAGAGGUUUCGCCUAGAGCAGUUCCAGAAACUUAGAAGCUUAAUAAAAAAAAAAAUUGAGGGUUGGUGCUAAGGCGAAACACAAAAAUAAUAACUAACCCAAUCAACGAUGCUAUCAUCAUCGGAGAAAGCCCUUGAUUUAUCAUAAGGUCGGCGCCCCGUUAUCAAUUCGAUAAGCACCACUCCGAACGAGAAGACAUCUGCUUUGUCUGUGAGUUUCCCAGAAGAGGCAUAUUCAGGGGCCAAGUAGCUGCAUCUCACAAGAAACAAGUUUUAAAGAUUGUUGGUUUGGUGAUCAACUUAUGGUUAUGGUUGAAUAUAGAAAGGGCAUUCAUACCCGAAUGAUCCCAUAACCCGAGUGGAAACAUGGGUUUCACAGUCUGAACAAGACUUGGCGAGUCCAAAAUCUGCUAUCUGAUGCACAAGGUUCAACAUGACUAGUUAGUUGUGGAGUUUAAAUAUAUAGAGCUUUUACAAGUUCAGAUAAUACCUUUGACUCAUAGCUAUUGUCAAUCAAAAUAUUGGCAGCUUUUA